UGGGGAAUAUUGCACAAUGGGCGAAAGCCUGAUGCAGCGAUGCCGCGUGAGGGAAGAAGGUUUUAGGAUUGUAAACCUCUGUCUUAAGGGACGAUAAUGACGGUACCUUAGGAGGAAGCUCCGGCUAACUACGUGCCAGCAGCCGCGGUAAUACGUAGGGAGCGAGCGUUGUCCGGAAUUACUGGGUGUAAAGGGAGUGUAGGCGGGACUGCAAGUCAGGUGUGAAAACUAUGGGCUUAACCCAUAGACUGCACUUGAAACUGUAGUUCUUGAGUGAAGUAGAGGUAAGCGGAAUUCCUAGUGUAGCGGUGAAAUGCGUAGAUAUUAGGAGGAACAUCAGUGGCGAAGGCGGCUUACUGGGCUUUAACUGACGCUGAGGCUCGAAAGCGUGGGGAGCAAACA
RNAcentral lists this ribosomal RNA (402 nucleotides) under uncultured bacterium. Its description in RNAcentral is "bacterial SSU rRNA". It matches the Rfam family "Bacterial small subunit ribosomal RNA", at positions 355 to 774 of the family's 1533-position model. The record is from RNAcentral.